AACGAACGCUGGCGGCAGGCCUAACACAUGCCAGUCGAGCGGACCCUUCGGGGUUAGCGGCGGACGGGUGAGUAACGCGUGGGAAUAUGCCCUUCUCUACGGAAUAGUCCUGGGAAACUGGGGGUAAUACCGUAUACGCCCUUUGGGGGAAAGAUUUAUCGGGGAAGGAUUAGCCCGCGUUGGAUUAGGUAGUUGGUGGGGUAAUGGCCUACCAAGCCGACGAUCCAUAGCUGGUUUGAGAGGAUGAUCAGCCACACUGGGACUGAGACACGGCCCAGACUCCUACGGAAGGCAGCAGUGGGGAAUCUUAGACAAUGGGGGCAACCCUGAUCUAGCCAUGCCGCGUGAGUGAUGAAGGCCUUAGGGUUGUAAAGCUCUUUCAGCUGGGAAGAUAAGGACGGUACCAGCAGAAGAAGCCCCGGCGAACUCCGU
This 432-nucleotide ribosomal RNA is filed under the name uncultured bacterium. RNAcentral describes it as "partial 16S ribosomal RNA". It matches the Rfam family "Bacterial small subunit ribosomal RNA", at positions 29 to 506 of the family's 1533-position model. The record is from RNAcentral.